UACGGAGGGUGCAAGCGUUAAUCGGAAUUACUGGGCGUAAAGCGCACGCAGGCGGUUGGAUAAGUUAGAUGUGAAAGCCCCGGGCUCAACCUGGGAAUUGCAUUUAAAACUGUCCAGCUAGAGUCUUGUAGAGGGGGGUAGAAUUCCAGGUGUAGCGGUGAAAUGCGUAGAGAUCUGGAGGAAUACCGGUGGCGAAGGCGGCCCCCUGGACAAAGACUGACGCUCAGGUGCGAAAGCGUGGGGAGCAAACAGGAUUAGAUACCCUGGUAGUCCACGCCGUAAACGAUGUCGAUUUGGAGGCUGUGUCCUUGAGACGUGGCUUCCGGAGCUAACGCGUUAAAUCGACCGCCUGGGGAGUACGGCCGCAAGGUUA
This 373-nucleotide ribosomal RNA is filed under the name Aeromonas sp. Its description in RNAcentral is "partial 16S ribosomal RNA". It matches the Rfam family "Bacterial small subunit ribosomal RNA", at positions 524 to 896 of the family's 1533-position model. RNAcentral also lists the same sequence under 1 other name. The record is from RNAcentral. Lineage: Bacteria; Pseudomonadati; Pseudomonadota; Gammaproteobacteria; Aeromonadales; Aeromonadaceae.